AUUCCAGCUCUUUUAGUGAAUGCUUUUAGUGUUGCAGUUAAAAAGCUCGUAGUUGGAUGUUCUGGGGGGUAUUAGGGGGUCGCAGUCAUGGAUGAAACAUCUUUUGGCCGCCCCCACCCCCCGUAAACUUGGGGACGAGCUUAAUUGUUCGACCUCAUAAUUAACUGUGAAUAAAAUCGAGUGCUCAAGACAGGGCUUACUGCCUAUUGACGAUCAUUAGCAUGGGACUAUGGAAAAAGUCCGGGGCGGGAGCGUUGUCUCUUCCGUUUACCCUGGACAUGAUUAAAAGGGAUGGCUUGGGUGAUCCGUAUUAACUGGGGAGGGGUGAAAUCCUUUAAUCCAAUUAAGACGAACAGAUGCGAAAGCGUUUCACAGGGACAUUUUCAUUA
This 389-nucleotide ribosomal RNA is filed under the name Eukaryota sp. Its description in RNAcentral is "partial small subunit ribosomal RNA". It matches the Rfam family "Eukaryotic small subunit ribosomal RNA", at positions 582 to 975 of the family's 1831-position model. The record is from RNAcentral.